CCUACGGGGGGCAGCAGUGAGGAAUAUUGGUCAAUGGACGAGAGUCUGAACCAGCCAAGUAGCGUGAAGGAUGACUGCCCUAUGGGUUGUAAACUUCUUUUAUAUGGGAAUAAAUUGUCCCACGUGUGGGAUUUUGUAUGUACCAUAUGAAUAAGGAUCGGCUAACUCCGUGCCAGCAGCCGCGGUAAUACGGAGGAUCCGAGCGUUAUCCGGAUUUAUUGGGUUUAAAGGGAGCGUAGGUGGAUUGUUAAGUCAGUUGUGAAAGUUUGCGGCUCAACCGUAAAAUUGCAGUUGAAACUGGCAGUCUUGAGUACAGUAGAGGUGGGCGGAAUUCGUGGUGUAGCGGUGAAAUGCUUAGAUAUCACGAAGAACUCCGAUUGCGAAGGCAGUUCACUGGACUGCAACUGACACUGAGGCUCGAAAGUGUGGGUAUCAAACAGGAUUAGAUACCCUAGUAGUC
Molecule: ribosomal RNA, 460 nt
Filed under: uncultured bacterium
Lineage: Bacteria
Description: partial 16S ribosomal RNA
Rfam family: Bacterial small subunit ribosomal RNA
Source: RNAcentral